CUCAGGGGUGUAAGGUACCUAAAUCCCUGGGCAGGCAGAGGUAAAAACAUGGCAGCCCACCAACUUGAUGCCAUUAAUUUGGAAGGAGGAGGAGGCCUGUAUAUGUUGUGGAUCCACUGGAAAACCUGUUAGAAAAGGAAAACAACAACAACAAUUGCCCCAUUGAGUUCCAUGGUGAUAUUUGCCAUCUUUGGGGACUGUGUUACAAAAAUAGGAAGAUCCGACUAGGACUAGGAGGAGGAACGGAGACAGGAGCUCAGAGCCAUUCAAUGGAAGCUAAGGAAGUUUUCCCCCUGAGGCCUGUCCACUGCCUGGGGCCCUGCCAGACCAGCAACGUGUUCUUGUGGUUGUGUAUUUUCUUCUUUUUUUUAGUGUUUUCAUUAGGGGAUUAUAAUCAUACAUAAUAGUGGGAUUUAUUUGGACAUAAUCACAGAUGAUAGAAUAUAACUAGCUCCAUUCAGUCUCA
Non-coding RNA from Ictidomys tridecemlineatus (thirteen-lined ground squirrel), 466 nucleotides. Lineage: Eukaryota; Metazoa; Chordata; Mammalia; Rodentia; Sciuridae. The record is from RefSeq and is a predicted model, not a curated record.